This 437-nucleotide long non-coding RNA is filed under the name Capsicum annuum. RNAcentral describes it as "long non-coding RNA (CANN_LNC002096)". The record is from RNAcentral. Lineage: Eukaryota; Viridiplantae; Streptophyta; Magnoliopsida; Solanales; Solanaceae.
AGGGAUUGAUUUCUCAUGUAUGGGAUCCAGGGAUAUGUUGUGGAGAUGUGCAGGCUUUAAGUUUGAUUGUCGAGAAAUUUAACUUGAGCUUAGAUGAUCCUGAUAUGGCUAAUAUUGUAUCUUUAUCUUAUGCUUCCAAAAGGAAAAAUGGUAAAACUAAUACAGUUUGUGACUUGGAUGGAAUGACAUUCAAUUGGUUGCAUCAAUUAAAGGAGAUGCAUGACAGAGCUGCAAUUUGUUUUUGGUGCCUCACUUUCUUUAUUUUUACAGUUUCUUCUUUUGUGCCUUUUGUGGAUUAUGGCCGAACAUAUAGUAUUAACGGUUGUAAGGUUGUGAUGGAGUGGAAUGAGAGGCAGUUUAUUUGGGUGCUUAAUGUUUACUAGAGGAGCAUCAAAUCUAAUGAUAAUGGAUUACAAUAUAAACUUUUAUAAUGUUCC